This 175-nucleotide non-coding RNA is filed under the name Nicotiana sylvestris (wood tobacco). RNAcentral's name for it is "Bacterial large subunit ribosomal RNA". It matches the Rfam family "Bacterial large subunit ribosomal RNA", at positions 1713 to 1888 of the family's 2925-position model. RNAcentral also lists the same sequence under 1 other name. Lineage: Eukaryota; Viridiplantae; Streptophyta; Magnoliopsida; Solanales; Solanaceae. The record is from Rfam by way of RNAcentral.
CUCGGUAAAAUGACCCCGUAACUUCGGGAGAAGGAGUGUUCUCCUUUCUUUUUAUUAGGAAAGCAACACACAUCAGGGGAUAGUGACUGUUUAUUAAAAAUAUAGGACUCUGCUAAGUGGUAACACGAUGUAUAGAGUGUGACACUUGCCAUGUCACGGCUCAAAAUUCACUAAG